This 610-nucleotide ribosomal RNA is filed under the name Hygrotus lutescens. RNAcentral describes it as "SSU rRNA". It matches the Rfam family "Eukaryotic small subunit ribosomal RNA", at positions 22 to 602 of the family's 1831-position model. The record is from RNAcentral. Lineage: Eukaryota; Metazoa; Arthropoda; Insecta; Coleoptera; Dytiscidae.
AGUCAUAUGCUUGUCUCAAAGAUUAAGCCAUGCAUGUCUCAGUACAAGCCUAAUUAAGGUGAAACCGCGAAAGGCUCAUUAAAUCAGUUAUGGUUCCUUAGAUCGUACCCACAUUUACCUGGAUAACUGUGGUAAUUCUAGAGCUAAUACAUGCAAACAGAGCUCCGACCGGAGACGGGAGGAGUGCUUUUAUUAGAUCAAAACCAAUCGGCGGCGGGCGCGUUCGCGCGUCCGUUCGCCGCUCAAACUGGUGACUCUGAAUAACUUUCCGCUGAUCGCACGGUCUCGCACCGGCGACGCAUCUUUCAAAUGUCUGCCUUAUCAACUGUCGAUGGUAGGUUCUGCGCCUACCAUGGUCGUAACGGGUAACGGGGAAUCAGGGUUCGAUUCCGGAGAGGGAGCCUGAGAAACGGCUACCACAUCCNAGGAAGGCAGCAGGCGCGCAAAUUACCCACUCCCGGCACGGGGAGGUAGUGACGAAAAAUAACGAUACGGGACUCAUCCGAGGCCCCGUAAUCGGAAUGAGUACACUUUAAAUCCUUUAACGAGGAUCAAUUGGAGGGCAAGUCUGGUGCCAGCAGCCGCGGUAACUCCAGCUCCAAUAGCGUAU